AAGUAAAAUCUAAAAAAAGAAUCGAUUAAAAUAAAUGUCCAUGUUUCUAGGCCAAGACACCAGCAAAAAUAGUUGAUUCGCUGGCGUUCCGCCGAAUGUUCCAUGGCCAUAGAACACUCGAGCCCUUGUUUACAGGCUAAUGCAUUCUCAUCAAACAACAAUUCUCGUAUGGCUGGCAUCCUUCAAAGCUAGAAUUUCAUGGUGAUCUUGUGUAACUGUGCAAUUUUGUGGUGAAACCAUGACCAACGUUUGCAAAGUGCAUGGGAAUACCUCAGAAUGUGUAUCAUCUGAACUAGCGAAACUCAAGAUUGCCGUCGCCUUGGUAGUCAUACGGAGCAAGCCAGCCGACCAAAAUGUCAAGGAUUUCGUUCACAACUUAGUGUUUUUUCAACAAGAUAAAGAGCAGAGAUGGAAAGCCGAAUAUCACCGACUCAAACAAGAAGUUCUACAGUUAAGACAGCAACAACUUUUAUUUUCAAUUAACACCAGGCUCAGUUCACAUUCGAGUGAAGAUUUUCGCAUUAGACCAAACCCUCAUGAUUCUCAACCAGUGUUAACUCCACCCGAUUCGCAAUCAGAUAGUCAGCCAAAUACAACAUUGGCGUUACCGACAUUGGCACCCAACAUCCCUGAAAAUGACAAAGCCGACGCAGAUCACAUGACAUUUCUGCGGGCUUACUUCUAUCUAGAUCAUCAAUUGCGUUUAAAUCGGCCACCACCACCACCACUAAUCGGCCUUAAUAACGAAAUCUUGGAGAAGGACGUGGUGCGACAAAGCGUGCUGUCUGUGUUGCAACAUGUCGAUUCCAACACACCCAAGGAACAAUCAGAUUUUUCGAGAUGUUUGGACAGCUUUCGCGUCUGCGUUCGAUUACUCGACUCUCAUGGCAAAUGGAGUCAAUCCAUGCUGGACAAGUUCAUCGAACUGUCCUCAUGUUGGUUGAAACGGGUGAUGCAGGGUGACAACGUGCUUAGGUACAACGCCCUGCUUGACAUUCUAGCCGAUUCGAACGGGAUGGCUGUACUGCUGGCUGAAACUGUUGUCAAGGCGAUAGCCGAGUCGCACGAGCGGAUGAAUGAGUGGGAGUGGGACGGCGUAGAGCUCAUCCCUCGGCCUGUGUUGACCCACUUCUCCGCUAGUUCCUAUUACUUCCUCUUGUUGGAGAAAACCAUUCCUCGAAUGGGUUCGUCCGAUAGAAGUCGAUUCCAGACCGUUUUAUCCCACGUCGGACAGCGGGUUCACAUCAACUUUCCCCUCUUUGCUGCUUCGAUGAUGCGUCUGGCCUAUCAGCUUGGCAACUGAAUCGAAAAGACGUGCCUGCUCAUUUAUGCCCUCCGAGGCCCUUGAGCUUCACUGGAUCACCAUGGAGUAGGAGGAUUGCUUGGGGAACAAGAUGAACGAGGAAAACGGAUAGAGAGCCGAAGAAGAUGCAAGGAAUUUUAAUAAAAAUACUUCUGUCAUCAUGUUUCGUACACGUUAUCCCGCCCUCUAUUCCACUGGAGUUGCCCGGACCACCAUCUCUUCUUCGGGAACGAGAUGUUUUUCGAUUUCACGUUUCUUCCAUUUGACUCCUUGACAAUGUUGCUUCGCAUAGAUUUCGUUGUUGUCCAACGAAGAGGUCCUCUCUUGCAGUUUAUCUCAUUAUUUUUUACUAUUUUAGUUGUCUAGGUCGUAGCUGUGAACGAUAGACGCUUUGCGCAAUUCGAUCAUUGGCAUGACACCAUUUUCCUGCUAGGAUGAAACAAGAAGAGAAACAUCGGGUGAAUAACAAAAGCACAGGAACACGCACGUCAAAGAAAAGGGAAAGUGAAGGAGCCUUUUUUUUUUUUUCGACGGUUAUUGAACUUUUCUUCACAGGGCAUGGACCAGUUUCUUUUACCAAAAGAUUUAUGUUUUGCUCCAUAAAAAAAACACGAAAUCUU
This 1923-nucleotide unclassified non-coding RNA is filed under the name Daphnia magna. RNAcentral describes it as "uncharacterized LOC116915653, transcript variant X1". The record is from RNAcentral. Lineage: Eukaryota; Metazoa; Arthropoda; Branchiopoda; Diplostraca; Daphniidae.